GGAGAAACAUUUAAAAGAAAUAAAAACAGAAAUAAAAGACAAGACAAACUGGCUGUGACAAAAGACGAUUAGACAGAGAAUGAGUGAGAAUGGGCCUACUGGGCAGACUGGGGAAGAGGAAACAGGUGUGCAGGAGGGUGAUGGUGACAGCAGUGGCAGAGAAGUGGACUAAGACACGCAAGGUAAGUUAUGUUUAUUUUAUUUUAUUAGAGAGUGGACAAAAUAAUUGACUGCAUCUCUGUCAGGUUAUUUUUUCUUAGUAAAGAGUCGAGUCAGUUUUAUUUUGUUGCGGCAGAAAGAGGCUGACGACAGGAGAAUCAGAUGAUGGAGACACACGUGUCAGAUGGAGAAUCUCUUUUAUUUCACAACAGCUCACCAACAACAUAAAAGAGAAAAUACCAACAUUAUGGAACGUGACACACCUUUUAUACUGAAGACAGGCUGUGUGUGUGUGUGUGUGUGUGUUCGAGUUGCGUGACAAGUGUGAUGCGUUGUGUCUUUCUGUGGUGCAGGGAGAACGGCUCGGCCACACAGGACUCGCUCUCACUCUGCCUCUUUACUCUGGUACAAAGAUCAGCGUCAACAGCGUGUCAUGCAACUGCGAGCGUUCAGCUCUCUCCAGCAUGAAAGUAUCUUUCUUUUUUUUGCUGAUUUUUACAAAAGACUCAUAUAAAAUACAUCUUCACAUUACAAUGCUAUCAGUCUUCCCUUCCUGUACAUCCCAGUGUAAAACAUGUGAUCGUAUGGUGGCAACAUUAUGUAUGAUUUUCUAUUGCACCUAAGCAGGAAGAGCUGUUUUCUUCUAAAUUAAUAAUAAAAAUUCUAAAACAACCUAAAUUAACAUUUUAUCCCUAAGCAACAAAAUAUAGGUAGUGCAACACGUUGUUUUACAAAAACAAACAUUUUACCAACAAUAUGUAAAAACCCACAUUUAACUAAAGCUAACUGGUACAAAAACCAGCAACACAUCACCGUCAGCAGCGUGUCAUGAAACUGCAAACGUUCAGGUCUGUGUAACAAAGAGUAGAAAGAUGACCGUCUCAAAUAAUUACUAGAAGACAUUACGCCACGGAGCAAGCCAGCAAGUACGAGGCUAGCUAACUAGCAUUAGCUCGAUAUGCUAAUCAAAACACUGCUCGUGGAUAAAGUUACAAUUCCUGCACAUAAACGUCUGUAACUUUCUGACUACCAGUGUUUAUAGUGCAUGCUACCGACUGUUGCAGAAACAGUUUUAAAGCAGCAUUGCUCAUAUGUACCCACCUCCAGCAUGAAAGUAUAUCUAUGCAUCAUUCCACCAGGUGGCUCUAAAACUAUGUACAUACAAUAUCUAUUUUGAAGAAAUUCAUACUAGGGGUUAUUUCUAACCAUGUUACACAAGUCUCAUCCUGUUUACCAGACUUUUUGCCGAUCCUAAAUUCUACAGAAGAAUGGGACAUUUCUCAAUUUCACUGAUCUUUGGACUUAAACCAAAUUUGAGUGGGCGUCUCUGCACUAUGUUUGUGGUAUUCUGCCUCUUUCCCAAUAUCUCCAGAUGUCUCCUGUUUUGGUUUGGUGGACUGACAUGUUUGGCGUCGGUACUGGUCACCGUGACCUGGCACUCAUUCUUCCACAAUUUGUAAAGCUCAACAACGUCCCUUUUAAUGAUAGAAAAAGUGGAGGAAAUUUCAGGAAGAGCAACAGAGGAGGGAUUCCUCCCUCAGGAUGGACACAUAUAUAUGAGGAACAUGAUCAGGAGGACAUUGAUGAACUUCCAGGUGCCACCAAAUAGAGACAGGACCUGAUAUGACCUCCUCUCCUAGAGACCUGGAAAGAGGACAUACAUACACACACAGAAUAAGGACAGAUGAGGUUCAGGCUGAAUCUCCUGAAAGAUGAAGACGCAGUAACUCUGGAAAUGGCACCGCCAGCUGAGGGAAGGAGAGCAGAGAGUCUCUGGAGAUGAAGAGUUGAGCUGAGCUGCUGGUAUCACAGCUGACAAUCAAACGGCGUCCUCCUGUCCUCUGGAAUAAAUAGUCCAAACAUGUCGCUCUGUGUACUGAGAGAGGCCUCUAGUCUUUGUCUUUGGGGGAAAUAAACACACUCUGAACUUUAUCAGUUGACUUGUGUUCAAACAAAGAAAGCAAACAAGCAGGAAAACCUAAUGUGUGAUAAGCUGCAACCACUUUACUGCUUAAUUACCUCAAAACGAGCACUUUCAACAGAUCCACUCGCUGCUGUUUGCAGAUGUUUUUUUCCACGUUUCCAGAAUCACAGAAUAUUUCUUUACACCAUUUCUUAUAUAUGAAAAGAGCACCGUGAUCUCUUGACCUCCUUACUUACUGUCAGACGCUCUUUAAGAAGUGCAACUUACUUUACUACUCAAAAUGUAAUGGAGCCUGCAGUCAGAUUAAUAUACACAACACUAAUAACAUCGACUACAGACGCUCCUUUGAAUAAAGGAAUUAAAUUAAAAGCAAAAUCCCAGUUUGAGCUGCUCUUUCUGCAUCAAUCCAGCAUGUUCAGAGUUAUUUUAUGAUGAAAUAUUGCAGCCACUCUCCCUGACAAGUUUCACAUCUACCCAGAAUGCCUUUCACCAUCUUGAGAGGCUUUGAACUUAUGUUCCAUCUGUGCGUUACGAGUGUAGGUGGAGGUGAUCGCAGGGAGCCGUGCCCCUCGCUCCAAACUUCCCGGACCCGUAUUCAGACGUCAUAGCGGCACCAGAAUGAAGCUGGAGGUUUGAUCAGAACUAAAAAUACUCCGCUAACCAUCUACAUUAUGUUUGGACUGUUAUCCAAAGCAUGAAGAAACUGUUUAAGGGCGUUAAAGUGUUUAGGUUUGUUUUCUGGAGAUAAAAGUUCUUAUCCUGUUAGAUUUGCUGUUGGAGGAAUCCCAGAGAGAUCGUGUUUAUGAGGAGUUUGAGUCUGUUUGUCCGCCGACGUGAAGCCCACAGGAGAGCGAGGUGUGAAAUGUAACCCUAACACCUGUGAACAGAACAUCACAACAUCAAAACAAACCUUCUUCUGGCUGCGGGAGGAUUACACUCACUUUACAUGUUGGGAGAUGAUCUUCAUGGCUCCAGUCUUACUAGAGAAAGAUGUUGCCCCCCCUCCGGCCUGGUGGGUGUCACACCCUGCAGCUUUCUUUAUGUAAAAACAAAGAGGCAGAGAACUUCUGCUUCUUCAACAUCAUAAUACUUAACAGUUGACUCCCUGAGGUGAUCAACUAAAUGCUAAUUGUAGCAUCAGGUAAGUUAAUGUGUCCUCAAAUACAAGAGAUAUCUAUACAUAUGUAACCGUAGCAUAUGUUAGAAACUGAAGCACUGUAAAAUAACCAAAAUGAAUGUCCUUAAGUCUCCUUGUUCUUCAGUUGCUCUUGAAUUACACAUUAACUCAAAAACAAUAAUAUACAACCUCACAGUGAGUAACUAUUAACUUUACACCUCAUAUUACUCCAUUGUCAAACAUUCACAAAUUACUGUAUUUACACCUCCUUUAAACUCAGUAACAACCACACAUAUACAGGAAAACAGUUUAGCAGACUGUUGAUACAUGCACUAGCACUUUAUGUAUCUUCAGAUUGAUUAACAAGCCAAAACAAACCCCUUCUACAUGUCUCAUUAGCAUUUCUAUUGUACUCUGUAUUCUACCUUACUCAUUAGCAACAGGUCCGCUAGCCUAGCAUCAGUGUGUAGCUAAACAUAGCAAAACAUCUCUAUUUCGACACAUUACUGCAAAACCACUCGACUCUAACGUUACACGUCAUCACAAAUGAUUCACAACACUCUUAUCCCUUAUACGGGGGUACAUGCAUGUGAUUUUGAGGAAUAUUAACCCUCCUUUAUGUAAAAACAAAGAGGCAGAAAACUUCAGCUCAACGUGUUUGCUUCUUCGGGGUUUUAGGUUCCUCCAAGCUAAGCGCCCUCUAGUGUCCUGUUUAAGCACUGACACGGUAACAAGUAGAGUACAAUGAAAUUUGGAAUUUAAUCACUAUUUGACACAAUAAAAUAAAAUAAAAAAAUAUAGGGGUGUCUAUUUUUAAACACAUUUAAGUUAAUAAUGAUAGUUUUUGCAGUGAACUGUACCAUGUACCAUGGUCCCAAUGACUUUUUAACAUCUUUAUGCCAUUUUAAUAUUCCUUUACAUACAUUUAACCCUUUACAAAGACAACAGGAAGGGCCGGCUGUCUUCAGAGGGAUUCUAGUUAGUAAAAUAUCAACAAAUAUCAAACUUUGGCAGUUUAAUAGUGAUUGAAAAAGCACUUGGAUCUUGUGAGGUCACAAGGCAGAGUGGCUGUUGGGACCAGAACCUCCUCUCUCUCUCUACCAGCGGUACCUGCAGGCGGUGAAUCACAUCAGCAGCAGACGACGAGGAGACAGGAUGAAAGACUUUGAUGCUGCGCUGUGUGAAACAUACCGGCUGUGGAUGGGACACUGCAGGCACAGCGGUUGAAAAUAUAAGUUCUUAUUAGCUUUCUACUCACGAAGGGUUUUGUUUCACUUACAGUAGCCGGUAGUUUCCUCCACAGUUCAGCACAGAGAUCAGCUCAUAAUGAAAAGUGUAGAAAGCGGAGAGAGCAGAGAUCAACAUCACAAGUCAACUUUGAUUUGCUUCUUUUACUUCUAGCAUCUCGUAUCUAUAACAUAAUCUACUGAAAUGUCCAUCAGAGUACAGCUAUUAAUGUGAUUCAGGCAGGUGUGAAACUUAUAAUAAUGUUGUUCAGGUGUGACUGAAUGUCUCCGGGAUACAUCGGUACCGCUGCUGUUUGUUGCUCACAGCUGCUGUGUGUCAGAUUCUUUCUGUGACGAGUGACACAACAGCAGUAACUUCAUUAACAGGACGGUGAUUAAUGUUCUGUGUUCUGCUACACAGUAAUCAAUGUACAGUAAACAGUGAAACAGCGUGUAAUUAAACAGCCCUUAUGGAUAAAUCCA
This is a long non-coding RNA of Thunnus maccoyii (southern bluefin tuna), 4909 nucleotides long. RefSeq lists it as uncharacterized. The record is from RefSeq and is a predicted model, not a curated record. Lineage: Eukaryota; Metazoa; Chordata; Actinopteri; Scombriformes; Scombridae. The transcript is spliced from 2 exons.